CAGGUCACUCCUACGGGAGGCAGCAGUAGGGAAUCUUGCGCAAUGGGCGAAAGCCUGACGCAGCCAUGCCGCGUGAAUGAUGAAGGUCUUAGGAUUGUAAAAUUCUUUCACCGGGGAAGAUAAUGACGGUACCCGGAGAAGAAGCCCCGGCUAACUUCGUGCCAGCAGCCGCGGUGAUACGAAGGGGGCUAGCGUUGCUCGGAAUUACUGGGCGUAAAGGGCGCGUAGGCGGACAUUUAAGUCAGAGGUGAAAGCCCAGGGCUCAACCUUGGAAUUGCCUUUGAUACUGGAUGUCUUGAGUUCGGGAGAGGUGAGUGGAAUGCCGAGUGUAGAGGUGAAAUUCGUAGAUAUUCGGCGGAACACCAGUGGCGAAGGCGACUCACUGGCCCGAUACUGACGCUGAGGCGCGAAAGCGUGGGGAGCAAACAGGAUUAGAUACCCUGGUAGUCCACGCCGUAAACGAUGAGUGCUAGUUGUCGGCAUGCAUGCAUGUCGGUGACGCAGCUAACGCAUUAAGCACUCCGCCUGGGGAGUACGGUCGCAAGAUUAAAACUUAAAGG
This 560-nucleotide ribosomal RNA is filed under the name uncultured Phenylobacterium sp. RNAcentral describes it as "bacterial SSU rRNA". It matches the Rfam family "Bacterial small subunit ribosomal RNA", at positions 329 to 907 of the family's 1533-position model. The record is from RNAcentral. Lineage: Bacteria; Pseudomonadati; Pseudomonadota; Alphaproteobacteria; Caulobacterales; Caulobacteraceae.